GGUAAGGAAAGAUGGGAUCUGGGGGCAUAUCAAGGCCCAGGACUCACCCUCCUGUGCCCCAGAUCUUAGGUCUAUCACGGCAGAAAGACUUUUGCCCUGCAGACUCAGAAGCAUCUGGAGCUAUGGGAGCUGCACAGAAAUGGAUCCUGCUAACGCGCCCGCAUGCUCUCAUAAUCGGAUCGGCUCAGGAACCAGCAGCAGUCCCAUUGUAAGACCAGGGCUUACAGGACGGGGCCCCAGACAGGAACAAAGGAAACACUCCCACCAACUCUUGUGCCAGGAAUGAGCUGAAAUUCUUGAAGUCUUUCAGCCAAAACUCUCAGAAGACUGCCCAUCAGGUGAGAAAACACAACAUGCAAAAUCCUGAACCAGAAAAAUCAUCCGGCAAGUCCGCAUCCAGCUAUGUCUUACCGAGGCAAACUCCAAAGAAGUUUUCCCUUUAAUCUGGCAUUUGAAACGAAAUGCUGCUAGGAACCCCCACCUCACCCACCCCACCCUUCUGUGUUGCCAUGACUACCCGAGUUCUCAGAACCCGAAAGAACUACCUCAGCAC
RNAcentral lists this long non-coding RNA (553 nucleotides) under Mustela putorius furo (domestic ferret). RNAcentral's name for it is "lncRNA (ENSMPUG00000029351.1)". Lineage: Eukaryota; Metazoa; Chordata; Mammalia; Carnivora; Mustelidae. The record is from RNAcentral.